This 228-nucleotide ribosomal RNA is filed under the name uncultured bacterium. RNAcentral describes it as "partial 16S ribosomal RNA". It matches the Rfam family "Bacterial small subunit ribosomal RNA", at positions 568 to 795 of the family's 1533-position model. The record is from RNAcentral.
UGCGUAGGCGGAUUAAUAAGUCAGUGGUGAAAACCUGCAGCUUAACUGUAGAACUGCCAUUGAUACUGUUAGUCUUGAGUACGGUCAAGGUAGGCGGAAUGUGUAAUGUAGCGGUGAAAUGCUUAGAUAUUACACAGAACACCGAUUGCGAAGGCAGCUUACUGGACCAUUACUGACGCUGAGGCACGAAAGCGUGGGGAGCGAACAGGAUUAGAUACCCUGGUAGUC